AAUGAAAAUAACAUCAUUAUGAAAUACAUUAACAUACUCAAUAUAUAAAUCAAUAACAUCAAGAAAAUGUUCCUGGUUUAAAAAGAGGUAUGUAUUUAAAAGUGUAAUAGUAAUAUACGCAAUAUUAUGAUUAUUUUAUUGAUUGAGUGCUGUUUGCGUUACGUUCAGCGGCCUAUAUAUUUCAUCCAUAUUCAGAACGAGAAGGAAAUAUAUGGUGAAAUUGAAUCUUGAAAGUUUAGGUUCUUCAAGAUGGGAUGACCUUCAGGGACGACGAGGGUGAAGGCCGGAAACUUUGGACUUCCUGGAAAAUUAGAGUUAUAUGGGAUGGGUAUGAAAUUGCAACAGUCCACGUACGGACCCCUCAUAUAUUUGUUGCAGGGAUUCUUAAUAGUUUGUCUUUAUGCUUUAAAUGAUUUUUUUGUAUGUAUCAAUUACGCUGUUUUUCUCAUUUGAAUUAUUUUACAUUAGUCAUUCCAGGGUCUUUUAUAGCUGCCUGUGCGAUAUUGGCUUUGGAACCUCCUAUUUAUUUUGACGAUCAAUGCAUUUGAAUGUAGACACAUAAUCGUACACCCCCCUUUUUUCCUGGAUUAUAGGAACACCCCUUAUAUAAAUGGCUAGAUCCGCACCUUGGUUUGACAUUUUGUAAAACAUGUUGAUUGGAUGGAGAGUUGUUUCAUUGGCACUCACACCAUAUCUUCCUAUAUCUGAUUAUACUUGAUAUUGUUUUGCUAAAUUUCAAUUUUAUUCGGUGAUCUUCAAAUAAGGACUAGCCCAAUUGUCGAAGGUCCGUGAUUCUUUCCAGGUACGCCAGAUUCCUCGUCAUAUUAAACUGAGCAAUUGAACAAAGUCAAUAAAUUUAUAAAUUAUCACCCGUGUAUUUCAUAAUUUGUAUCUCUUUAAUCCGUUUUUCUCCAUUCUAAGUUUUUUUUCCAUUUCUCUCUAUUCUGUAAAUCCAAUUUAUACCCUCAUGCAUGUAAAUUAUAUAAGUUUUAUUAUAGUUCAUAUAGAAGCGGCAACAUUAUAAUUCUGACUUGACUAUUUCGCCUUGUCCAUAUGAAAAUAAGAAGUUGUGGUAUAGUUGCAAAAUGUGAUAACUCUUAACCUGAGACCAAAUGAUAUACAUGUAGAUGAUAAAACUGACUUAUUCUCUCUGUAUGGCCUCUAACAAUGAACAAAACAUAUGUCUUAAAAAUAUACCAACAAAUAACAUUUUGAUAAAAUAUCGUGUUGGUUAAAAAAAAACUAUAAAAAAAAAACAUAAAAUAAACUAAUAAUGGCACAUGAUAUACUACGAUUACACUCCAUCUUACCUACAACAAAAAUCUGAUGAAAAUCGUAUUGGUAAAGAAAAUACAUUAGCGGCGCAACAACACAAAAGACAUCUAGAAGUCAAUAAUAAAAAAAAACUUACAAUGGGUAAACACAUUAGCGGCGCAACAACACAAAAAGACAUCCAGAAGUCAAUAUAAAAAACUUAUAAUGACACAUCACAUUACUAGGAUUACACCCCUUAUUACCUGUACACAAUAAAACAUAACAACUUACUUACAUCUAUAUUUAUUUACGUUCUAAGGGGAUAGGAAAUAACUCUUUAACCCUACAAGUUAUAGUUAUCUUUUAGGAAAUGCAUCAAACAUUUCAAACGAGGAAAAAAACGUAUCAGAUUUCCUACAGCUAAGUUACAGUCGGAUUUAUUCCAUUGGGCACGCACGCACAAGGUAUGUUAUUCUAUAUUUUUCAGCAUCAAUGAUAACGUAUAUUUGCUUUUUGUUUCGUUAUGUCUUUGGACGUCUUCUUCUAAGUUAAAUUUAAUUUUUCAAUCAUGUGCAACGCAUAUUUGUUCAAUCUAGCAGAAGUUUCCACGGAUUUGGUUUUUUUUAUAAACAAUGCCAGAAUAUCAGUUAAACAGUCCCCGUUGUAACAAAUACAAUGUACCCUUUAUAUCGUUUUGGACAAAAACUGUAAUAUUUGUUCCAGUGAUAUUUUGAUGGAGCUUUUUUCAUGGCACAUUUAUUUACAUAUGAGCUUAUCAAUAUUUCCAUUUAUUAUUGUGCUAUGUCUGUCUCACCAUUUUCAACAUUUUGGCAUAAUAUCCAUUUUUGGUUUUGCAAUGCAGCAAUUUGAAAUGAAUCUUUUCUUUUUAAAACUUUGAUAAAUUGUCGGAGGGGGAAUAUUAAUUUUGAUCUCGUUAAGUUAAGAUGGCAGUGGAAUCAAGACUGACUUUUAUAAGGGGGCAUUGGCGGCAUAUAAGGGAGCCGCUUCAGGUAUGCUUCAGUGAUUACAUAGCUUUUCCAACAAAAAGGGGAGCCCAGGCAUCCGGGGCCCAACUGAAUCGACUAUGGAGGGCGUUAGACAUACAUCGUAAAGCCAUGGUGGCAACACAAGACGUAUACCAAAUUGUGAUAAAUGUAAACAGACAAGGACAACGGACGAAAACAGUUGAUGAAGUACAAACACGAACUAAUGUUUUGAAUGAUUUGAUUACGGAUUAAUAAAAAAAAAAAUGACAAGACUUGUUGAAAACGAAACGAGCCCCGGUUGAUCUAUUUUACAAAUAAGUCAUUCGAAUUUUAUUUUUCAUAAUUAUGCAAAAUACUUUAAACCAUUCAACGGAACCCAGUUUUGUAACACAAUAACAUAAACAACUUAGAAAGUAUAUUAUAGUCACGAAUGCAUAACAAAUCAAUAAAUAUACGUAUAAACUGGGUCUUCUUAUAUACCAUAACGCUUUAGGUAACGUUUAAUGGUCUGUGUAAUGACCAAAAAUCACUUUUGAAGUAAAACACGCCUUACCUUUUAGCCAUGUACAAAAUGUAUGUAAACUUGCGAGUUAAAUUGAUAUCUGUAAGUGUAUAUAAGUACAUGUAAGUAUAUAAGGGUCUGGAUUAAUUCAUGACGUUUUUCUGUUUUAAAAAAAUUAUAUUCCAAAGACGUGUGUCUGUAUUGUCUAUUUUGUUGCCCAUUAUUCUCUAUUUCCAUAUUUUUGCAUUCUAAUUAUUUCUCUUUUUUUGUCUUUUUUUCAGCCAAUUAUUCUCCUAAUUAUUUCUCUUUUUUCCCCUUUUUUAAUUGUUCUUUUUAUAUGUUUGGUAAACUUCUCUUUACUCUUGGUCCAUGCAUUCUUCUCUAUUCUGUAAACCCCUUUAAUCAAGCAAUGAUAAACUAGUAAUAAAACACUAUUUAACUAUCACACGUCAUCAAUUGGACAACUGUCAAUCCAAUUUCAUUAUAUAUAAAACGCAUUACCGUGUAUCGUUUGUUUAGUUGACUAGUAUAGUACAUAAAGUACAUGUACAGUGAAACAUGAUUAAACCGAACCAUGAAUAAAACAGAAACCUAUCUAAAUCAAACUUGUUCUGAAGACCAAUCAUAUCACAUUUCAUACACUGUGAACCUGGUGAAACCGAAUACCUGCCAAAACCGAACAAAAUCUCCAGUCCCGAAAGGAUUCGGUUUAAUCAGGUUUUACUGUAUUAUAUCUUGUCAAUACAUCUUUAUUUCCUGUAUAAGAUGACUUAGUAUAAUACGUUGUUAUAUCAUUGAUAAAAUUGUUAACAUCUUUAUUGUUAAACUUUUAUAACAGGGCAUUUGAACAUUUGCCAUACCAAAUACUGUUGGAAAAGCUCUGUCAUAAAAACCCCUAUGAUAGAAUGCAUAUGAUCAU
This 3661-nucleotide long non-coding RNA is filed under the name Mytilus galloprovincialis (Mediterranean mussel). The record is from RNAcentral. Lineage: Eukaryota; Metazoa; Mollusca; Bivalvia; Mytilida; Mytilidae.